This is a long non-coding RNA of Gallus gallus (chicken), 1925 nucleotides long. NCBI's taxonomy places the organism in Eukaryota, Metazoa, Chordata, Aves, Galliformes, Phasianidae. The record is from Ensembl.
UUCUACAUCUGUUUUUUAGCAAAACAACAACCAUCCAAACAAGUAAAACUGGAUAACAAUAAUCAUCAAUAUUCAGUUGGGGAAAAGAAGCAAACUGGCCUCACUGCCGUGUUCCUGAUUCUUGGGAUUUGUGCAGGAGGAGCAGCACUGCUGUCCAUGUAUUAUUACAAGAGGCGGACCCAGAAACGUCAAGGACCUAUCGUACUGGUUCAGCAGACUCUUCCAGUUCUCACCUGCUAGAUUAAACAAACAAGUUUCUGAAAGCCAAAACCUCAUAGUUAUUCGACACACCAUCUGCAAAAGAGAAAACGUCAGCUGCGCACCCCUUAGCAAUGAAGCACAGCCACCAGCUGAAGAAACCCUUUUAGACAGGACCUCACAGUAAUGUUCAUAAAUGUGCCUCCACCACUCCCAGGUAUUUCUUGAGGACUGAGAUUGCCCAAGAUGUUCAGCUCCAGGCCUUCACCAGCAAUGCUAGAAACUUCCUGAAGCUCCUGUCCUGUACUCCCUUGGUGCUUGGCUGAGGGCCACCGUCAUCACAAGGCUGAGUAGCUGGCUCAGCAGCUCAGCCUUAGACCAGCUGACUCCUCCCAAUGGAUGAUCUGACAGUUUCAACCAUGCAAACCAAAGUUGUUUGGAGAACUGCGUCUGUGCUCAGGAGAAGUGUGUGCUGAACUGCAACAGAUGUACUCUAUAUGUUUUCCGUGUCAUAAUGCAAUGCCAUGGCUGUGGUUCUUCAUCCUUGAGCUCCCAAGUGGUCUCUGCGCUUACACAAGAAGGCAUUUAGUGAGGUGACUGUUUGUUUAAGAACAGAGGCCUGAUCUUCAAAGCAGAUGUCCGAAACCGAAAUUGAAAUGUUAAUCAUGAAUGACAACAAAAGAUAUGUUAAAAAUUAACUUCAGAAAUACAGAAAAGUGUCUGUUCUUCUACUUCGCUCUUAUUAGAUGCAAGAGACUAGAGCUUUCCACAACCCCAGCCAUAGCAGUGGGGGCUUUACGCUCCUGCUGACCUAAAGUAAUCUUAACUUGGCUCUCUAAUGUGGUCUUCUAAUGGGAAAAAUGCAUGUCUGCAUUUUAUACAACUUCAUGUUCUUAUGCGUGCUGUUCAAAUUGAUGGUUGAUGUCCUUUUUUUUUUUUUUUCUGUAGGCCCUCUUUUCUUUGUAUACCCUCAGGUUCUGAGUUCUUUGGGAAAGGAACAAGAUAUUUGAGAACUUACAUUGUAUUAACUUGUAGGAUUCAGAUUUAAUAGUGAGCAGAUUUAAUUUCUAAUCUUUAACACCAGUUGGAGCCAGAGAGCUGGUCAAGUUUUUAGAAGCAAGCUUACCUGCAUGAGCUUACCUGUUCAGCUGUCAACCACAAGAUGCAGUCACAAGCUGGUCUUUGUGGCUCACCCAGACACCUUUCCUUCCAUUUCUUCCACCUUUCAGCUGGCUAUUAUGCAGCUGUGAUGUUGAGAGGUGUCACUACCAGCUGUUCCGCUUUGUAGCUCCUGGGCUCUGUUUUCCUGGUAACACCAAUUAUUCAGUGUCUUGGGGAAAAAUUACUUUAAUGAUCUAUGCUCUUUGCUUGAAGCAAAUGAUUUAUGUUAGUUUAUGUGAACUUUUACAAAUAAAUAUAUGCAUGCAUAUACACAUUUCUUAAAUAAAGAUUGAGAAUACCAGGCAGCUUGACUUGGUAAGUGGCAUAAUUUGACAACUGUAAUUUAGUUUUCAUGAGUUUUGUGUUCUUAUGCUCACAAAAUUGUUAAGGUUGGGGAAGACCUCUAGAUCAUCCAGACCAGCCAUCCACCUACCACCAAUAUUGCCCACUAAGCCACAUCUCCACGAUUCUUGAGGACCUUCAGGGACAGUGACUCCACCUCCUCACUGGGCAGCUGUGCCAAUGCCUGACCAUUCUGUUAGAGAAGAAGCAAGCUGAACCUCCCG